GUAAAUUCAACAACAGAAAUUGAGGAUGAGGAACAUGGUGUUGCAGUUCAAACCAGUUCCAGCCAAAAUGGACUCUAGUCACAAACAAAUAGUAAUAACAAUCCAAACUUGUGGCUGAAUAGAGUUCUGAAGUUUUGAGAAAGAGCCAAGAGAAAAUUCAGUGUGAAGAUGAUGGAGUGACACAAUAGAAGGAACCUGAAUCACUGAAUCAUCACUUGGAAGAAAGCAGCCCAGACUAGUUACCCAACUCCCAUCAGACAGUGACCAGAGUGAGAAAUAAGCCUUGUGUAUGGUG
RNAcentral lists this long non-coding RNA (295 nucleotides) under Homo sapiens (human). RNAcentral's name for it is "CCDC54 antisense RNA 1". Lineage: Eukaryota; Metazoa; Chordata; Mammalia; Primates; Hominidae. The record is from RNAcentral.